CACGUAGGGCGCAAGCGUUGUCCGGAAUUAUUGGGCGUAAAGAGCUCGUAGGCGGCUUGUUGCGUCGACCGUGAAAACCCGGGGCUCAACUUCGGGCUUGCGGUCGAUACGGGCGGGCUAGAGUUCGGUAGGGGAGACUGGAAUUCCUGGUGUAGCGGUGAAAUGCGCAGAUAUCAGGAAGAACACCCGUGGCUAAGGCGGCUCUCUAGUACGGUACUGACGCUGAGACGCGAAAGCGUGGGGAGCGAACAGG
This 253-nucleotide ribosomal RNA is filed under the name uncultured bacterium. Its description in RNAcentral is "partial 16S ribosomal RNA". It matches the Rfam family "Bacterial small subunit ribosomal RNA", at positions 524 to 776 of the family's 1533-position model. The record is from RNAcentral.